GAAAGUAAUAAAGAGCGUAUGGGGGAUGCCUAGGCUCUUGGAGGCGAAGAAGGACGUGGUAAGCUGCGAAAAGUCGCGGGGAUUUGCAAACGAGAAUUGAUCCGCGAAUAUCCGAAUGGGACAACCCGGCAGGCAGAAGGCCUGUCACCCAGCAAUGGGGGCUAACCCUCUGAACUGAAACAUCUAAGUAGGAGGAGGAGAAGAAAGAAACAUCGAUUUCCAAAGUAGCGGCGAGCGAAAUGGAAGGAGCCCAAACCGGUAUUGUUACGGCAAUGCCGGGGUUAUAGGACUGCGAGAUUCGAAGGACAAAGAACUGGAAAGAUUUGGAAAAGUCGACCAUAGAGAGUGAAAGUCUCGUACAGGUAAUUGAGUUCAAAGAUAGCAGUAUCCUGAGUAUGGCGGGACACGAGGAAUCCAGUCAGAAUUUGCCGGGACCACCCGGUAAGGCUAAAUACUCCCAAGAGACCGAUAGUGAACCAGUACUGUGAAGGAAAGGUGAAAAGAACCCCGAACAGGGGAGUGAAAAAGAACCUGAAACCAUACGCUUACAACCUGUCGGAGCGGCUUUGUGCCGUGACGGCGUGCCUAUUGAAUAAUGAGCCUACGAGUUACUAAUCACUGGCGAGGUUAAGUGCUAGGAAGCACGGAGCCGAAGCGAAAGCGAGUCUGAACAGGGCGUUUAGUCAGUGGUUGUAGACGCGAAACCUUGCGAUCUACCCUUGAGCAGGAUGAAGGUUGGGUAAAGCCAACUGGAGGUCCGAACGAAUAAGCGUUGAAAAGCUUCUCGAUGACUUGAGGGUAGGAGUGAAAGGCCAAUCAAGCUGGGAAAUAGCUCGUACUCCCCGAAAUGCCUUUAGGGGCAGCGUUGUAAUAAAGAGUCUACUGGAGGUAGAGCUACUGAUUGGAUGCGGGGGCUUCACCGCCUACCAAAUCCUGACAAACUCCGAAUGCCAGUAGUAUGAUUUACAGCAGUGAGUGACUGGGUGCUAAUGUCCAGUCGCAAAAGAGGAACAACUCAGACCAGCAACUAAGGUCCCGAAGAAUAUGCUAAGUUGAUCUAACGAUGUUUUGUUGCAGAGACAGCUAGGAUGUUAGCUUGGAAGCAGCUAUUCAUUCAAAGAGUGCGUAACAGCUCACUAGUCGAGCGACAGAGCGUGGAUAAUAAACGGGCAUCAAGCAUAUCACCGAAGUUCUGGGCGCGAGAGCGCGGUAGGGGAGCAUUCCAUUCAGCGUCGAAGCAGUUUCGUGAGGAAUUGUGGAGCGUAUGGAAAAGCAAAUGUAGGCAUGAGUAACGAUAAUGCGGGAGAGUAACCCGCACACCGCAAGACCAAGGUUUCCUGAUCAACGCUAAUCGGAUCAGGGUUAGUCGGGUCCUAAGGGUAAGCCGAACGGCGAUCUCGAUGGAUAAUCGGUUAAUAUUCCGAUACUAACAUAUACCUCGAUGGAGAGACGAAGGAACGUAAGUGCCGCCACCUGACGGAAUAGGUGGUUAAAGGGCGUAGGUAUAGGGGCAGAUUAAGAGUUAGUCCUUGCUGAAACCUGACAGUACAGAGAGCCUACGGGCAAUUUGAUAGAGCACCCAAGUCGACUUCCGAGAAAAUCUUCUAAGUUAUAGUAUAUGUUACCCGUACCGUAAACCGACACAGGUGGUCGAGGAGAGUAUCCUAAGGUGCUCGAGUGAAUCACGGUUAAGGAACUAGGCAAAUUAACCCCGUAACUUCGGGAAAAGGGGUCCCUAUGAAAGUAGGGCGCAGCGAAGAGGUCCAGGCGACUGUUUAUCAAAAACACAGGGCUCUGCAAAUUCGAAAGAAGACGUAUAGGGCCUGACACCUGCCCGGUGCUGGAAGGUUAAGAGGGGAUGUCAUCGCAAGAGAAGCAUUGAAUCGAAGCCCCAGUAAACGGCGGCCGUAACUAUAACGGUCCUAAGGUAGCGAAAUUCCUUGUCGGGUAAGUUCCGACCUG
Molecule: ribosomal RNA, 1962 nt
Filed under: human gut metagenome
Description: bacterial LSU rRNA
Rfam family: Bacterial large subunit ribosomal RNA
Source: RNAcentral